This 72-nucleotide transfer RNA is filed under the name Lasius niger. It matches the Rfam family "tRNA". From Rfam's summary of the family: Transfer RNA (tRNA) molecules are approximately 80 nucleotides in length. Their secondary structure includes four short double-helical elements and three loops (D, anti-codon, and T loops). Lineage: Eukaryota; Metazoa; Arthropoda; Insecta; Hymenoptera; Formicidae. The record is from Rfam by way of RNAcentral.
GUCUGAAUAGUUUAGUGGUAAGAGCAGUUGCCCGGAAAGCGAAAAACUUAGAUUCGAUUCCCUAUUCAGAAA